AACAUUGAAAGUCCUGCUCAUUCGCAUGUGCUAGCUUGCCAAGAAGGCAAGUGUAAAAUCAAAUGAUGCUGAAUGUGUGCAAAUGCACAGCUUGAAAAUAAAGAUGUGUGCUGGAAGCUUAACUGUGAUCUUACAUUUUAUAAAUGUUUUAGAAAGCAACAGUGACCCCCAGAUAGUCACUGAUAAACAUGUGUUUGAUUGACAGGGGUAUUCAAAAUGCUGAGAAUUUAUAUUUAAAUGGAGAGAGUUCACCCAAAGAUAGAAAUUCUUGUCAUAAUUUAUUCACUCUCAUGUCAUUACCUUUCUAAUCUAAUGUCCUUCUAUGCAUCACAAAAGAAGAAGGUUUUGAAGGACAUGAGGCGACAUUUUGGUCUGGAUAACCGAAUCGGAGCCCCCUGCUAUUCAUCGAGCUGUCUGUGAAGAGAUAACAGAUCAAUUAUGUAUAGCCAAUGCCACUCUGUACAGGAAGUCAAAGUAAGUAGCUCAAUGAAAGGAUUAGAAACUCCCAGCAAGAGCUGAACGCGACAGGAUAGGGUGACCCGUAACACCCCAUGACAUCACGCCAUCCCUCAGGAAACUUUAUAUGAAAGGCUAUUGUGAACACUAAACCUGAAAAGUCUCUGCAGACCCUGUUGUUCUGUUGCACAAGAGAGUGCUAGAAAUCUAAGCGGGUGAACCAGACCUGUGUUGUAUGAAGGCAAGGGUGUCUCAGUCAACAAAUCCAGGAGGUAUUGUUUUGAGCUGCAGCAUGAAUCAAGAGUUUAGUUAUCAAAUGAAGGUAUUUGAAAAGGAAGAACAUUGCUGUCUGAUUUGAUACAAUAAGCUCAAUUCAAGUGGAUGACUGGGUAAUAUGCAGUAUUUUGAGCUGAAUAAAAGUUUAUUCAUGAAAUGUCAAACUUGGGGAGGACCUGUUUACAGCUUUUCUUUGACAAACAGUUUUAACAGGCCGCAUUCUCACAAAGGAGUCAAACAAUGUUGCAGAUAUUUUUUCAAGGAGUGACUUUAAUGACUUUCGCCUCCAAGUAUUAUAGAGGGAAAUAGUAUUAUGGGCUCUUGGAUUAAAGCUUUAAAUGGUUAACCCUAAUUUUUGUUGGGGUCA
Molecule: long non-coding RNA, 1099 nt
Organism: Triplophysa rosa
Lineage: Eukaryota; Metazoa; Chordata; Actinopteri; Cypriniformes; Nemacheilidae
Exons: 3
Source: RefSeq, a predicted model, not a curated record